RNAcentral lists this ribosomal RNA (227 nucleotides) under uncultured bacterium. RNAcentral describes it as "partial 16S ribosomal RNA". It matches the Rfam family "Bacterial small subunit ribosomal RNA", at positions 1279 to 1505 of the family's 1533-position model. The record is from RNAcentral.
UAAGCCGUCUCAGUUCGGAUUGUUCUCUGCAACUCGAGAGCAUGAAGGCGGAAUCGCUAGUAAUCGCGUAUCAGCAUGCCGCGGUGAAUACGUUCCCAGGCCUUGUACACACCGCCCGUCACACCAUGGGAGUUGGUUUCACCCGAAGGCAGUGCGCUAACCGCAAGGAGGCAGCUGACCACGGUGGGAUCAGCGACUGGGGUGAAGUCGUAACAAGGUAACCGUAA